CUACCACAUCCAAGGAAGGCAGCAGGCGCGCAAAUUACCCACUCCCGGCACGGGGAGGUAGUGACGAAAAAUAACGAUACGGGACUCUUUUGAGACCCCGUAAUCGGAAUGAGAACGGUCCAAACCCUCUAACGAGGAUCCAUUGGAGGGCAAGCCUGGUGCCAGCAGCCGCGGUAACUCCAGCUCCAAUAGCGUAUAUUAAAGUUGUUGCGGUUAAAAAGCUCGUAGUUGGAUCUCAGUUCCGGUCGGGGGAUCCGUCUUCCGACGGUCAUCUCCCGGACCGAACAGCCGGCCGGUCUCCCUCGAUGAUCUUCAUCGGUUGUCUCGGGUUUGACCGGCGAGUUUACUUUGAAAAAAUUAGAGUGCUCAAAGCAGGCUCCAGAAGCCUGGAUAAUGGUGCAUGGAAUAAUGGAAUAGGACCUCGGUUCUAUUUUGUUGGUUUUAGGAUCACGAGGUAAUGAUUAAGAGGGACAGACGGGGGCAUUCGUAUUGCGGCGCUAGAGGUGAAAUUCUUGGACCGCCGCAAGACGAACGACAGCGAAAGCAUUUGCCAAGAAUGUUUCCAUUAAUCAAGAACGAAAGUCAGAGGCUCGAAGGCGAUCAGAUACCGCCCUAGUUCUGACCAUAAACGAUGCCAGCCAGCGAUCCGGCUGCGUUCCUCAAAUGACGCGCCGGGCAGCUUCCGGGAAACCAAAGCUUUUGGGUUCCGGGGGAAGUAUGGUU
This 723-nucleotide ribosomal RNA is filed under the name Raveniella hickmani. RNAcentral's name for it is "SSU rRNA". It matches the Rfam family "Eukaryotic small subunit ribosomal RNA", at positions 407 to 1130 of the family's 1831-position model. Lineage: Eukaryota; Metazoa; Arthropoda; Arachnida; Araneae; Micropholcommatidae. The record is from RNAcentral.